CCCCUAGAUGUUCUGGGCCGCACGCGCGCUACACUGAACAGUUCAACAAGUCUUAACCUUGGCCGAUAGGUCUGGGUAAUCUUUGAACGCUGUUCGUGAUUGGGAUAGACCUUUGCAAUUAUGGGUCUUCAACGAGGAAUGCCUAGUAAGCGCGAAUCAUCAGUUCGCGUUGAUUACGUCCCUGCCCUUUGUACACACCGCCCGUCGCUCCUACCGAUUGAAUGGUCCGGUGAAAAUUUCGGAUACCGGCAUUGCUGGCGGUUCGCCGCCGGCGACGCUGGUAGAAGAUCUUUAAACCUUAUCAUUUAGAGGAAGGAGAAGUCGUAACA
RNAcentral lists this ribosomal RNA (329 nucleotides) under uncultured eukaryote. Its description in RNAcentral is "partial 18S ribosomal RNA". It matches the Rfam family "Eukaryotic small subunit ribosomal RNA", at positions 1470 to 1796 of the family's 1831-position model. The record is from RNAcentral.